GUGUGGUGGGACCUCAACACAUGUCCGGCUCCGGCUGGUGUUGAGCCUCGUGCGUGUAUAGAAUCUGCGUUGAACAAGGAGAUGGGUUAUCGUUCUCAAGUCCACAUCUAUGCCAUCGUCAACCUGGAAGAAUACUUGUUACUCACGCCCCCUGCGGUAAAAAAAAUCCUCUAUCAAUUUGUUUACUCUUUUAAGUGUGUUUAAAGAGAGUCUCAUCCCUAAUUUCUUUCUUUCAAGGUGGGAACACGACUUAUUUUCUUUAUUGCUCGAAUGGUCUGAGCAUGACCCACCUCCGGCUACCCUCAUGCUGAUAUCUACUAGUCAUACGAUGGUUGAUCCUUAUCUUAUGUUCAAACGUAAGGAUACAUAAUAGAUUUACUAGUAAACCAAUGGUUUCAAUCAUAAAGCCAAGAGAUGUGAAAGAAACUAGAAAUUCUGAUUUGAUCAUUUGUUAUUACCAUUGAUUCUUCAUCUCCUUCACCUAACCGUAGAGCCAGAUCACACAUCGCUUGUGUUGUGGACUCUACUUUCAUUGGCUUACCAUACGAUAAUCUGUGCUUCUGAAAAUCAGUAAAGAAGCUGUCAAUAACAUCAAAAAUCUUUUUACACUGUAAGGAACAAAAACAAACGAGAAAAAAAAAAACCUCACUUGAGUCUCAACUCUUUCAUGCUCGACAAGAUCAAGUGCAUCAGCAAUUAUACCACUAAUGGCACAACCAAUAUGGUCAUCAAUUUCCAUAAUCUUCUCCACACUGCUCGGCUCCUAAAAAAAUAAAAUAAAUAGUAUUAACUUUGAGGAGAAACAAAGAUUCAAUGUAAACAGCCAAACCAGUCAACACGAGGUGAUAAACUUGUUUUACAUAAACUGAUCUUGUUCUCAAUACGAUUCAGUGUAAGUAGUUUUAACAUAGACUGAGAUACCUUAAAACAUAGAAUGCUUAUACUUCAUCUUAUCUAAUGCAGCAACACCAGAGAUGCAAUUCACUAAAUCAAAGAGAAUUGAUCAAACGAGAAGUUUAAGAAACAAAGAGAUCAAAGGUAAGAAGCAAACCAGUAAAGGCGAGGUGAAUCGCUUCUCAACAGCAAGCACAACUCCCUCUUUUGUCUUUACUCCAAUCGCAGUAAAACCAAGACUCAUCAGAGACAAUUCAACCAAAAUAUCUGCAACUGCUUCCGCUUGACGGUUCCGCCUAUUUUUCCAUUUUCUAACCAUUUUGUUUUUGUUGGUGAAGGGCAUAGUUAACACGCAGCGCCAAUUUUUUUUUUGCUUAAAAACCGCUGAUGUACUGACUGACAGGCUGCAAUUUGUAGAAUCGCAACCUGUAAGGUCAACACAAAUAUCUAUAUCAGGCACACCAUGCGUAAUGAACACAAUCUGCAUCCCCUUCCUUCUCAGAUUCUCAAUGUGGCCGUAAUAUCCUUUAUCACCUGACAAUAAAACAAAACGUUCUUCAUAGUGUCUCUGAUCCAUUUUUGUAUAAAGGCUCAGCAGACAGUCACCUAUGGAGACAUCUGCAACUUGAAGUUCACGAUAUUUUGUUCCUGAACGGAAGGGAAUUUCUGCAUCUGAAUCAUAAACCUUAUGGUAAACAAUUUCAGCUUGAUUCUGUAGUGUUCUGGACUCCCAACAAAGAUAUAGAAUUUUGGCGGCUUGAAGGUUGUCAAAGUACUAGUCUGCUCUAUGGCCUCGCUAAUACGACGAAUAGCUUAUUCAGUAGACAAUUCUCCCUUGAUUGGAUUAUUCUCAUAAAUAUUAAAAUUUUCAAAAUAAAAUAAGAUUAUUUUGAUCAAUUUAUUUUUGUGAUAAGAACUUAAAAAUGGAUAUUUAAGUAAAUUGCCCAUAGUUUUUUGGGUUUUAAUUAUAGCAGAUCUAGUUUUUAGUACAAUCAAGUUUUUGUAAAAAUACAAGGAAAACUAAUAAUUCCUUUUAUAAAAAUCUAGUAACUUAUAUAAAUAGGCCAUAAGUUUUUAUCUCAUGGGCUAUGUAUAAAAACUCAUGGUUUAGGGUUUCCUGCAUUUUUUGUGCAUACGCCAUAUAAAUAGGCCAUAAGUUUUGUGCAUUCUGAAAGGUCGUCGUCGUCUAAAUAAAUAGAUCUCUCGCUCGGGAAAAAGUUGCAGGAAACCCUAAACCGAUCCCAAAUUCGUUGCGGCUGAGAUAUCGAUUCGAUAUGGCAGGAGGAGGAGGUGGGUAGUUUUGGAUUUCGAUUACUUUUUUGUAGAUUAAAGCGGAUAUUAAUGGUGAUUGAUUUAUGUGGUAGGUGAUGCGGCGUUACAAAGGCGGACGGGAGUGUGGUGGGACCUGAACACGUGUCCGGUUCCCGAUGGUUUUGACCCUCGUCGUGUGCGUGGGUGCAUAGAAUCAGCGGUGCACAAGCAGAUGGGUCAUCGUUCUAAAGUCGUCAUCUAUGCCAUGGGCAACCUAGAAUACAUCUCUAGUGACCUCUUGGAAGAGAUAGCUUACUCUGGAAUCGUUCUUGUCCACGCUCCCUGCGGUAUUAAAAUCCUCUCCUCUCUGGAAUAAUAAUAAUUAUUAUUAUAUCGAUUUGUCAGAGAGUAAUAUCUUUUAUUUCUAGGUGGGAACGACUUCAGAAAGUUACUGGGCGAAUGGUCUCAGCUUAACCCAUCAUCUCCGGCUUAUACUGUCAUGCUCAUAUCCUGCAAUUAUACGAUGGUUGAUCCUUAUCUUUUUCGGCCUACUCGAUUCACUGCUUUUUGUCUAUAUCCAAAAGAUAGCCGGCCAGUUACCCUUGACCAGCAGCCAGUAGCUCAGAAUGUUUUUGUGGGAGAGUUUGUCUGGGAAACUUUAUUGAAUGACAACAUCACAUGUGAGAUGAUGACCGUGAAUGAAGAUGAACCUCUCUGCAUUUGCGACAUAUGCGAUGACACUUUCGAAAUAUGUGCCCAAUUCAUCACUCAUCUCAAGAGUGAAGAACACAUAAAGGAGGUAAGCGAGCGAGCCUCCUCCUCUUCAGCUUUUGUAUCAUUGUCAUGUAACCUCUGUGUGUGUGAUGGUCUCAGCUUAACCCAUCAUCUCCGGCUUAUACUGUCAUGCUCAUAUCCUGCAAUUAUACGAUGGUUGAUCCUUAUCUUUUUCGGCCUACUCGAUUCACUGCUUUUUGUCUAUAUCCAAAAGAUAGCCGGCCAGUUACCCUUGACCAGCAGCCAGUAGCUCAGAAUGUUUUUGUGGGAGAGUUUGUCUGGGAAACUUUAUUGAAUGACAACAUCACAUGUGAGAUGAUGACCGUGAAUGAAGAUGAACCUCUCUGCAUUUGCGACAUAUGCGAUGACACUUUCGAAAUAUGUGCCGAAUUCAUCACUCAUCUCAAGAGUGAAGAACACAUAAAGGAGGUAAGCGAGCGAGCCUCCUCCUCUUCAGCUUUUGUAUCAUUGUCAUGUAACCUCUCUGUGUGUGUGUGUGUGCAGUUGUCUGAUAUAGUGCCUAGAGACUCCUGGUACGGUAAGCCUAUGCAUUUUUGCCAUGUUUGCAAUUAUCCCGGCUACGACGAUUAUAACAUGCUCCUCCAUAACCAAAGUGAAGAUCAUCAUCGCAAGGUAAAGCAUCCUUGCCUCUUUGCUCCUCUGACCAACUCUUCUGUAUCAAUAAAAUUUGAUCCCGUUUUGGUUUGUUUUCAAGCAGAAGAAUCUGGCUGAGAAAAUGGCUCAAGAAGAGGAUUGCGAGAGCAGGAAGAGAAAUCCACAAGUAGAUCUCUUUUACGAGAGAAACAAGAAGCAAUCUCUUUGAACGAGGCAAACAAGCUAGAGCGUGUGCAUGCCCCAUGGGGUCUGUGUUAAGUUUACUUUUGUCGAUUAAUUAAAAUGAAACUCUCAAAGGGGGAUUGAUGAUGAUUGUGUUCUUGGCGAAAAUUAUGCGAGUGUGAGAGACAAGCCUUUACCUUUUUAUCUCUUUAGGAAACUGUAGGGGAAGGAAACCAAGAAACUGUUAUUGUGUCUCAUAUGGACUAAACAUAUUUUUGGCCAUCUCUACUGACUGAGUUGCAUCGCAAGGUAAAGCAUCCUUGCCUCUUUGCUCCUCUGACCAACUCUUCUGUAUCAAUAAAAUUUGAUCCCGUUUUGGUUUGUUUUCAAGCAGAAGAAUCUGGCUGAGAAAAUGGCUCAAGAAGAGGAUUGCGAGAGCAGGAAGAGAAAUCCACAAGUAGAUCUCUUUUACGAGAGAAACAAGAAGCAAUCUCUUUGAACGAGGCAAACAAGCUAGAGCGUGUGCAUGCCCCAUGGGGUCUGUGUUAAGUUUACUUUUGUCGAUUAAUUAAAAUGAAACUCUCAAAGGGGGAUUGAUGAUGAUUGUGUUCUUGGCGAAAAUUAUGCGAGUGUGAGAGACAAGCCUUUACCUUUUUAUCUCUUUAGGAAACUGUAGGGGAAGGAAACCAAGAAACUGUUAUUGUGUCUCAUAUGGACUAAACAUAUUUUUGGCCAUCUCUACUGACUGAGUUGCAAAACUCACUACUUUUUAAACGGAACUGCUUACAUCACUAGUUAACAAAAGAAAAAAACAAUGUCGCUUCUUUUAAUGGGCACAAAUAAAACCAGACUUGUUAUGUCACUCCUGUGACAAAAGAGUGCAUUUCUAUUACAUACAUGUUAGUCUCGUGGAACUAAAGCUGCCCCGAUCUAUAGCAUAAACCUUGUGCCGGGUGUGUGUGACUCACUCACCCAAACGUUUCUUUUGUUCCCUAAAGUGACAACUCUUACAUUUUCUUCGCUAUAUAUAAUUCUUAUAGAAAAAAAUGGCCACAGCCUAAAGGAGGAGUUUAGAAAACAAACGUACUAUAUCAUCAUCAACAACUAUGUGAAACCUUUCUCAACGUUUUUGUGAUUUUAUCUCGGAGCCGCUUUAUCUUAGAACGCAUAUGUGAGUUUGUACCAAAAUAAGAUUCAGCGUUUGACAGCAUUGCAUCCACGUCGUGCUUAAACGACCCCAUACUUCUGUAGUACCGAUUCUCUACUCUCUGGUGAAUCAGCUCUGGGUAUAAAGGAACUGGGAACCUGCAAAAAGGAUUUUAAAUGUAACGAAGCUGAGUUACAUAUAAGGGAAUCAUAUUUAAAGAGAGUCAGAUUGCAGCAGAGAGCAAAGCGUACCUAUUGCAGAAAUCCAUCUUUUGAGCAGCUUCGUUUAGCUUUUGGAUUCCAUAACUAUCCUGAAGAAUAAUAUUAUAGUAACAGAAAAAAAAGUAACGGUCAAGCAAAGAUAAAAAAAGAUAGAGAAAUGGCCGGGAGAGAAGACAAAAAAAAAACCUGAUGCUUGCUGAUUGACUUCACUAGUCCAGCAAAUAAAGAAAGUAGUUUCUCUCUUGGCUCUUCGUCCAUGGUAGAGUUUUCCCAAGGAAACUGGGGAUUGUCAAACUCCCAGGGGCUGUGGAGAUUCGUGUCCCCAGUUUCAUAGACAACUUUGUAUCUCUCCCAUGGACUGUCUGGGAAGUUAGGGGACUUAACCUGUGAAGACUCGAUCCUUCCAUCCCACCAAGCACCGCCUUCACUGGACUCGUUUCUCCACCACACACGGCAUUCAUCCCCGACUUCCCAGUUUGUUUUCAUUGCAGCAUCGUAUCGAGUCUUCUCCACAAUAAAAUCCGGAAAAUUAAUGAGGUCAGGCAGUGUUAGUUGGAACUCUUUCCGAGAGGCAUGCGAUGAAGAAGAAUCCAGAACCCUGAGAGUCAUUUUGCAGCAGCUCUCGCCAGAACCAGGAUAUGUAUCGUAGUUGAGUUUCUCGACUUUACAAAACUCUACCGCUCCUAGGUUUCGUGGAAGGUACCUUGAUCGGUCGCUGUCAUUUAAUUCUCUACUUUCAAGGAACUCUUUAUGUCCCUGAGAAACGACAACCAGAGAAAGCUGUCAUUUAAUUCUCUUGAUCUAAGUAAUUAAUACAUGAAACUACCAGCCAAAAGAAAAGGACAUACCUGCUUGAAGUAAACAACUUCAUCCCCUAGCUGGGGUAUAUAGCGGCAGCUUUCCUCGUGUUCUGACAACAUCAACCAUGAGACUUUCCUUGACACAUUAUUCAACCUUAUCCCAGUAUUAAGACUUUGUUUGCUGGUACUUGCAGACCGGGACCUUGAAGUAGAAGGCCAUUCUUCAAGUGAGGCACCAUCAUACACGCUUGUGGAAGGAAUUUCUUGUUUCUUUACUUUAUCUAUAGACCUCAAACGUAAUACACUGUUUCUUGCACUAGACUGACUUGAAGUGGCCUUCAGUCUCAUAGAUCUCUUCCUACGUAUCACAUCGGCUGUAGCUUCUCCAAACUCAGCGUUGUGAGCAGGAGAGUUUCUAACAUUAUCUCUCACAGGUUCAGAAUCCAUAACAGGAUUCAUGGAAGAGGGAGCUAUGGAUGCAAGACCUUCUCCACCAUCUCCAAAAUCAUCUGCUACCUCAUCAGGCUCUAUUUUUAGAGGACUGCUGGGGUGCCGAAGCUUUAAUCUCAGUCGUCGAACUUUCUUUGGAAUAAUCUCCUCGGCUUCCGUGGAAGUAUCUACAUCACAAUGUCUUCGCUGAACACAGAAUGGUUCAACAAUUGACAAAUCUUCAUCCCUGCAAGAGAAAACAAUGGAUUAGAUCGUUGAUAUUUAAUAUAAGCAUAAAUUUUCUUAGUAAUCAUAACCAGAUUUCUUUGCCGUACCCAUUAGAUGUUUGGGCUUCUACAAUGUUCUCAGACUCGGCUAAUUUGGUGGAUUCACAAAGAGGAGUCUCUUCCCUCCACUUGCACAUAGUCUGGUCCUGAUCUGAAGAUUUUAUCAAUUGAUUAUUUGCCUUUUCUCUCUGUGGCGUAUUCAUAGAAUGGGGCACAUCCUGACACCAUGACGCACCUUUUGCAUCUACAGAACUUGACCCAGCUUCUCUAGAGUAUAUACCAAUUACUUUGUGAUUAUCCUCCAAAGAUUUCGAAGAAACAUGCUCCAAAUCAGCUUGACUCAUUACACUUCUCUUGCUUUCCACAGACUCUGUUGGCUUCUUAACCGAGAUCUUUACAAUCAAUCUUUUCUUUUGUUUGUCAUUUGAAAGAGAUUCCAGCUUCUGAGAUGGCUUCUCCAACUGUUGCAAAGGUGAUGCGCUUCUAUCAGAGUCACUAUUGGAUGAAUCAUCAGCUUCAUCCGAAGAGCUUCCAGAAAUCUUUGAAAGCAAGGACCGAGCAUUUUGCGCGGCUGCUCUUUGCGGUCGUGAUUCCUUGACAUCAGAAUAUCUUCUUUUUGAAGCCUUCACGCCAAUUCUUCUGUUUUUGAUUCUCUUAUUUCCAAAUUCGGAGCUAUCAAUCUCAUCCAAAAUCCUCUUAUCACGCCUUCCAGAUGAAGUAGCCACAUCAGCCUGAGAAAACGGGAGUUAGUCAAUAGAUAACAAAUAACAAAAUCGCAUGAGAUGAACAAAACAUACUCUAGGAUGUUGUCUUCGUCUUUUCCGAUUAUAACUAUUUUCGUAAAUAUUUUCAACGUCACUGUCCUCGGAACUGCACUCAAGUUCAUUUGAAGAGUUGGAACAUGGGCUUGCCUUAGCUCCAUCAGAGGAAACUUCAGCAUUGUACUCCGAAUCAUUGUCAUCACUCAGAACUUCAUGUUCUGGUUCCCAGUACAUAGCAUCUAUAAACUCAGGCAGUGGCUCGAUCAAUCUAUCCAGAUCUGCCAAAGGAGGCAUAAUAUAAUCUUGACCUAGACUAAAAUCAGGGCCAACAGAAAACUUUAUCGAGGAAGGACGCCAUUCGACUCCUAAUGCACCCAGUCUGCGUUGCUGAAACAUUGUCUGGUCAGGUUCUGGAUACGGAAUCAUACCUGAAAAUUUUUAAAACAAACACCAAGAAUAUAUGCCAUGAAUAACCAAUAUCUUGCAUAAAAGACAUAAAGAUAAGCUUUUGGGUACAAACUUGAAUCACAAAGAAGAUCUUGAAGGUUCCUCCGAUGGGGAAGAAGCUGAGUCUCCUGCACCGUGGAAAUUAUAGCUUUAAAUUUAGUCACAAUGAAACUGCAAGGAUAUCAUUCAUACAUCUCCGCCUUUUUAAUUCGAUAAAUGCAUAAAAGUGUGCAUGUUUCGGUGAGCUCUCUUUAAAAGAACGCAACAAUAACUAGAAGCAAAACAGGAGAUACAAGUAUUUGAAACCAACCUGAUCAAGAACAUGUCCAUUGGUAUCUCGAAUAAGAGGACGGUAAUCACCAAGGAAGAACUUACACAAAACAAGAAAAGACAAAGGAUCAGAAAGCAAUAGAGGAUCACUAAAAACUGCAGCCAUAUAUAAGAAAAAGAUUAUGCAUUAGGGAUGCAAAAUCCACCAUAAGUUUUGUGCAUUCUGAAAGGUCGUCGUCGUCUAAAUAAAUAGAUCUCUCGCUCGGGAAAAAGUUGCAGGAAACCCUAAACCGAUCCCAAAUUCGUUGCGGCUGAGAUAUCGAUUCGAUAUGGCAGGAGGAGGAGGUGGGUAGUUUUGGAUUUCGAUUACUUUUUUGUAGAUUAAAGCGGAUAUUAAUGGUGAUUGAUUUAUGUGGUAGGUGAUGCGGCGUUACAAAGGCGGACGGGAGUGUGGUGGGACCUGAACACGUGUCCGGUUCCCGAUGGUUUUGACCCUCGUCGUGUGCGUGGGUGCAUAGAAUCAGCGGUGCACAAGCAGAUGGGUCAUCGUUCUAAAGUCGUCAUCUAUGCCAUGGGCAACCUAGAAUACAUCUCUAGUGACCUCUUGGAAGAGAUAGCUUACUCUGGAAUCGUUCUUGUCCACGCUCCCUGCGGUAUUAAAAUCCUCUCCUCUCUGGAAUAAUAAUAAUUAUUAUUAUAUCGAUUUGUCAG
This 8769-nucleotide long non-coding RNA is filed under the name Brassica napus (rape). Its description in RNAcentral is "long non-coding RNA (BNAP_LNC009121)". The record is from RNAcentral. Lineage: Eukaryota; Viridiplantae; Streptophyta; Magnoliopsida; Brassicales; Brassicaceae.